This 456-nucleotide ribosomal RNA is filed under the name uncultured bacterium. RNAcentral describes it as "bacterial SSU rRNA". It matches the Rfam family "Bacterial small subunit ribosomal RNA", at positions 927 to 1382 of the family's 1533-position model. The record is from RNAcentral.
AGGCGGUGGAUCAUGUGGUUCAAUUCGACGCUACGCGAAGAACCUUACCUGGGCUCGAACGACUAGUGGUACCCUUUAUGAAAGUAGAGGGGACCCGCAAGGGAGCUAGCCGAGGUGCUGCAUGGUUGUCGUCAGCUCGUGUCGUGAGAUGUUGGGUUAAGUCCCGCAACGAGCGCAACCCCUGUCCUGUGUUGCUACUCCGCAAGGAGAGGACUCUCAGGAGACUGCCGUGGAUAACACGGAGGAAGGUGGGAUGACGUCAAAUCAUCAUGGCCUUUAUGUCCAGGGCUACACACGUGAUACAAUGGUACAGACAGAGGGCUGCAAGACCGUAAGGUGGAGCCAAUCCCUAAACUGUAUCCCAGUUCAGAUCGAGGGCUGCAAUCCGCCCUCGUGAAGUUGGAAUCGCUAGUAAUCGCAGAUCAGCAGGCUGCGGUGAAUACGUUCCCGGGCCUU